RNAcentral lists this long non-coding RNA (1128 nucleotides) under Monodelphis domestica (gray short-tailed opossum). RNAcentral describes it as "lncRNA (ENSMODG00000027576.2)". The record is from RNAcentral. Lineage: Eukaryota; Metazoa; Chordata; Mammalia; Didelphimorphia; Didelphidae.
AAAUGGAGUAAUUUUAUAUUUCAUAAAGAAGCACAUGGAGGGGAGGCAGAGUCAAGAUGGUGGCCUAGAAGGAGCAAAAGUUCAGACCUCUGAAUACUCUUCCUUUUUUUUUCUUUCCUUCAUUUCUUUUUUGGGGCCCAGUUUGGGCAAAUGGAUGCCAACUGCCUGGGUACAGGUUGCAACAGAGAAGCCAGUCUUGUGUUCAAGCCCCUGGUUGGGGGCCUCCCCCUCCUAUGGGGUGGACUCUGGGGCCCAGAAGGAUCCGGCAGCCACGGCUCCUGCAGGGCUGCUGGGAGCUGCCUCCUUCUCCUGGCCUCAGGCUGGGAUGUGGAGACAUAUGGUCACCCCCUUGGGGGUCGGGGCACCGCACACCCGGGGGGGGGGGGUGGCUGCUCACAGGUCCCUGUCCCUGGCCCACUCCUCCUGUGGUGGAGAAAGGCCUUUGCUGCUGCUGCCCGCAGCUCACUCUGCCUCGCUCCUGCUCUCCUGCUUCUGCCACCUGAUCUCCUUGUAGCGGAGGGUGAUGUCCCGGAGGAAGAAGCACCAGACAGUCCAGGUGAGGAUGAGCAUGGUGCCCAGGAUCCAGCACUGCGCCAUGUAGAAGGGCAGUGGCAGAUUCAGCAUGUAUGGGUCAUACUUGACCACGAUCAGGAACUCGGUGGCCAUGAUGGCCUCCACCAGCCACGCCUGCUGGCCAAACUUCUUGUGGAAUUUUGGGUCAUCCAUGAAGUUGUAGAUCUUGCGCAUGGCCAUGCCGCCCAUGUUCAUGAAGAAAACAAGGCACAGGAGGACGAGGUAAUUCUCGGGGGGCAUCCACAACACCAAAUUCAGGUAGAAGGUGUUGAGCUCCACCAGGAGAAACACCAGGAUGAUGCUGUAGACACCCAGCCAGCGGCACAGGCUGGAGGCCGGCUUCCACUCAAAGUGCACCCAGCUAUACGGUGUGAACUGGAAGGUGAUCCACUUCAUCUUGCCCUUGUAGGUGGGGAUGUUCCACAGCCCUUGCCACUUGUACAUCUUCAGAGAGAGCCAGCCCAGGGUCUUCAUGCUGCAGUAGAGGGUGUACCCUGUGGGCGGGGCUGUGCCAAGUUCAGAGAGUUCAACACAGAUGGCAGGGAAGAAGCUAGA